AUUGAGCGCUGGCGGCAUGCUUUACACAUGCAAGUCGAACGGCAGCGAGGAGAAGCUUGCUUCUCUGUCGGCGAGUGGCGAACGGGUGAGUAUAGCAUCGGAACGUGCCAAGUAGUGGGGGAUAACCAAACGAAAGUUUGGCUAAUACCGCGUAAGCUCUAAGGAGGAAAGUAGGGGACCUAAAUAAGGCCUUACGCUAUUUGAUCGGCCGAUGUCGGAUUAGCUAGUUGGUGGGGUAAUGGCUCACCAAGGCAAUGAUCCGUAGCGGGUCUGAGAGGACGAUCCGCCACACUGGGACUGAGACACGGCCCAGACUCCUACGGGAGGCAGCAGUGGGGAAUUUUGGACAAUGGGGGAAACCCUGAUCCAGCCAUGCCGCGUGUAUGAAGAAGGCCUUAGGGUUGUAAAGUACUUUUGUUAGGGAAGAAAAGCUAGUUUUUAAUAAAAAUUAGUGAUGACCGUACCUAAAGAAUAAGCACCGGCUAACUACGUG
This 493-nucleotide ribosomal RNA is filed under the name uncultured bacterium. RNAcentral's name for it is "partial 16S ribosomal RNA". It matches the Rfam family "Bacterial small subunit ribosomal RNA", at positions 30 to 507 of the family's 1533-position model. The record is from RNAcentral.